RNAcentral lists this ribosomal RNA (497 nucleotides) under uncultured bacterium. RNAcentral describes it as "partial 16S ribosomal RNA". It matches the Rfam family "Bacterial small subunit ribosomal RNA", at positions 28 to 507 of the family's 1533-position model. The record is from RNAcentral.
GAUGAACGCUGGCGGCGUGCCUAAUACAUGCAAGUCGAGCGAACAGACGAGGAGCUUGCUCCUCUGACGUUAGCGGCGGACGGGUGAGUAACACGUGGAUAACCUACCUAUAAGACUGGGAUAACUUCGGGAAACCGGAGCUAAUACCGGAUAAUAUAUUGAACCGCAUGGUUCAAUAGUGAAAGACGGUUUUGCUGUCACUUAUAGAUGGAUCCGCGCCGGAUUAGCUAGUUGGUAAGGUAACGGCUUACCAAGGCGACGAUGCGUAGCCGACCUGAGAGGGUGAUCGGCCACACUGGAACUGAGACACGGUCCAGACUCCUACGGGAGGCAGCAGUAGGGAAUCUUCCGCAAUGGGCGAAAGCCUGACGGAGCAACGCCGCGUGAGUGAUGAAGGUCUUCGGAUCGUAAAACUCUGUUAUUAGGGAAGAACAAAUGUGUAAGUAACUACGCACGUCUUGACGGUACCUAAUCAGAAAGCCACGGCUAACUACGUG